This is a long non-coding RNA of Cervus elaphus (red deer), 722 nucleotides long. RefSeq lists it as uncharacterized. The record is from RefSeq and is a predicted model, not a curated record. NCBI's taxonomy places the organism in Eukaryota, Metazoa, Chordata, Mammalia, Artiodactyla, Cervidae. The transcript has 3 exons.
AAAUAAUGAGGCAGACGUGGAGCCAGAGCACCUGGAGAGACAGCAAGCCCACUCUCCUGCCACUAGAGGUCAUGAAGAACUGAGACCAAGUCCGUUGGUAACCGUAACUAUUGAGAUGCAGAAGCUCGGGCUCCCCUGGCCUCCCUGACCUAUGGAAGCUUGCGUUCCCCUGUGUGCAUUCACCUGUGCGUCUCCUCGGUUCACGUGUCUGAAGGACACUCGCGAGAACACACCUGGGGCUCCAGGCUCAGGCCACCUUCAGGCCUGCAUCCCACACCUGGAGGUCCGCCUCUUGCACUUCUUGCCACGUGGAGAAGGCCGCCUGGGGUCUCAGAGUGCAUGGGGCAGAACUCACCCGUAAUCAGUUCCCUGGCUGGAAGGACAGACCAGGAGCCAAAGUUACUUGUGUUUCCUCUUCGGCCAGCAGCCCUGACCCCUCCGGACCUCUAGUGCUCCUGCCAGAUUUUAAACUCCUUCUCCCGGGGUUUCAACGGCUGCUGACUUACACCCUUCUCUUUGUGGCCUUGACCUCUUUCUCUCUGACUGGCUGGUUUGCAGUUUGGCCGUGCAACAGACACUGCUCCCCAACUACAGGCACAGGAAGCCACGGUGCUAAUGGAUUGAAAACAGGAUCCCAUAAUCCCAGGAUGCAACUACUGAAGUCUGUGUACCCCAGAGUCCGCGCUCUGCAACAAGAGAAGCCGCUGCAAUGAGAAGCCCAA